UGGGGAAUAUUGGACAAUGGGCGAAAGCCUGAUCCAGCCAUGCCGCGUGAGUGACGAAGGCCUUAGGGUUGUAAAACUCUUUCGUCGGGGACGAUAAUGACGGUACCCGAAGAAGAAGCUCCGGCUAACUUCGUGCCAGCAGCCGCGGUAAUACGAAGGGAGCUAGCGUUGUUCGGAAUCACUGGGCGUAAAGCGUACGUAGGCGGUGACUCAAGUCAGAGGUGAAAUCCCGGAGCUCAACUUCGGAACUGCCUUUGAUACUGGCAAUCUAGAGUCCGGAAGAGGUUAGUGGAAUUCCCAGUGUAGAGGUGAAAUUCGUAGAUAUUGGGAAGAACACCAGUGGCGAAGGCGGCUAACUGGUCCGGUACUGACGCUGAGGUGCGAAAGCGUGGGGAGCAAACAGGAUUAGAUACCCUAGUAGUCCCUGAGCGGGCUGGCAAGGCGCAU
RNAcentral lists this ribosomal RNA (447 nucleotides) under uncultured bacterium. Its description in RNAcentral is "bacterial SSU rRNA". It matches the Rfam family "Bacterial small subunit ribosomal RNA", at positions 355 to 825 of the family's 1533-position model. The record is from RNAcentral.